CCCGCUCAGAAACUUAAAGGAAUUGACGGGGCCCGGCACAAGCGGUGGAGCACGUGGUUUAAUUCGAUGCAAACCGAAGAACCUUACCAGGCCUUGACAUGCAGAGAACUUUCCAGAGAUGGAUUGGUGCCUUCGGGAACUCUGACACAGGUGCUGCAUGGCUGUCGUCAGCUCGUGUCGUGAGAUGUUGGGUUAAGUCCCGUAACGAGCGCAACCCUUGUCCUUAGUUACCAGCACGUUAUGGUGGGCACUCUAAGGAGACUGCCGGUGACAAACCGGAGGAAGGUGGGAAUGACGUCAAGUCAUCAUGGCCCUUACGGCCUGGGCUACACACGUGCUACAAUGGUCGGUACAAAGGGUUGCCAAGCCGCGAGGUGGAGCUAAUCCCAUAAAACCGAUCGUAGUCCGGAUCGCAGUCUGCAACUCGACUGCGUGAAGUCGGAAUCGCUAGUAAUCGUGAAUCAGAAUGUCACGGUGAAUACGUUCCCGGGCCUU
Molecule: ribosomal RNA, 495 nt
Filed under: uncultured Pseudomonas sp.
Lineage: Bacteria; Pseudomonadati; Pseudomonadota; Gammaproteobacteria; Pseudomonadales; Pseudomonadaceae
Description: bacterial SSU rRNA
Rfam family: Bacterial small subunit ribosomal RNA
Source: RNAcentral